AUUGAACGCUGGCGGCAUGCUUUACACAUGCAAGUCGAACGGUAACAGGCCUUCGGGUGCUGACGAGUGGCGAACGGGUGCGUAAUGCAUCGGAACGCGUCCAGAGGUGGGGGAUAAUGGAGCGAAAGCUGUGCUAAUACCCCAUGUGAUCUGAGGCUGAAAGCGGGGGAACACGCAGCAAUGUUUGGCCUCGCGCCUUUGGAGCGGCCGAUGUCGGAUUAGGUAGUUGGUGGGGUAAAGGCCUACCAAGGCGACGAUCGGUAGCUGGUCUGAGAGGAUGAUCAGCCACACUGGAACUGAGACACGGCCCAGACUCCUACGGGAGGCAGCAGUGGGGAAUUUUGGACAAUGGGCGCAAGCCUGAUCCAGCAAUGCCGCGUGGGGGAAGAAGGCCUUCGGGUUGUAAAGCGCUUUUGUACGGAAAGAAAAGGAUCUGGCUAAUACCUGGGGCUGAUGACGGUACCGAAAGAAUAAGCACCGGCUAACUACGUG
This 492-nucleotide ribosomal RNA is filed under the name uncultured bacterium. Its description in RNAcentral is "partial 16S ribosomal RNA". It matches the Rfam family "Bacterial small subunit ribosomal RNA", at positions 29 to 507 of the family's 1533-position model. The record is from RNAcentral.